AGUGAACGCUGGCGGUAGGCCUAACACAUGCAAGUCGAACGGCAGCACAGUAAGAGCUUGCUCUUACGGGUGGCGAGUGGCGGACGGGUGAGGAAUACAUCGGAAUCUACUUUUUCGUGGGGGAUAACGUAGGGAAACUUACGCUAAUACCGCAUACGACCUACGGUUGAAAGCAGGGGAUCUUCGGACCUUGCGCGAUUGAAUGAGCCGAUGUCGGAUUAGCUAGUUGGCGGGGUAAAGGCCCACCAAGGCGACGAUCCGUAGCUGGUCUGAGAGGAUGGUCAGCGACACUGGAACUGAGACACGGUCCAGACUCCUACGGGAGGCAGCAGUGGGGAAUAUUGGACAAUGGGCGCAAGCAUGAUCCAGCCAUACCGCGUGGGUGAAGAAGGCCUUCGGGUUGUAAAGACCUUUUGUUGGGAAAGAAAAGCAGCAGGUUAAUACCCCGCUGUUCUGACGGUACCCAAAGAAUAAGCACCGGCUAACUUCGUG
Molecule: ribosomal RNA, 492 nt
Filed under: uncultured bacterium
Lineage: Bacteria
Description: partial 16S ribosomal RNA
Rfam family: Bacterial small subunit ribosomal RNA
Source: RNAcentral